RNAcentral lists this ribosomal RNA (460 nucleotides) under uncultured bacterium. Its description in RNAcentral is "partial 16S ribosomal RNA". It matches the Rfam family "Bacterial small subunit ribosomal RNA", at positions 338 to 795 of the family's 1533-position model. The record is from RNAcentral.
CCUACGGGUGGCAGCAGUGAGGAAUAUUGGUCAAUGGGCGAGAGCCUGAACCAGCCAAGUCGCGUGAAGGAUGAAGGUUCUAUGCUUUGUAAACUUCUUUUAUAUGGGAAUAAAGUGAGGCACGUGUUCCUUUUUGUAUGUACCUUAUGAAUAAGCAUCGGCUAACUCCGUGCCAGCAGCCGCGGUAAUACGGAGGAUGCGAGCGUUAUCCGGAUUUAUUGGGUUUAAAGGGUGCGUAGGUGGUGAAUUAAGUCAGCGGUGAAAGUUUGUGGCUCAACCAUAGAAGUGCCGUUGAAACUGGUUGUCUUGAGUAUAUGUGAGGUAGGCGGAAUGCGUGGUGUAGCGGUGAAAUGCAUAGAUAUCACGCAGAACUCCGAUUGCGAAGGCAGCUUACUGACCGAGAACUGACGCUGAAGCACGAAAGCGUGGGGAUCGAACAGGAUUAGAUACCCGAGUAGUC